CUGGUACAGAGGAUGGAAGG
This 20-nucleotide microRNA is filed under the name Anolis carolinensis (green anole). Its description in RNAcentral is "aca-miR-150-3p". Its record names the gene aca-miR-150-3p. Lineage: Eukaryota; Metazoa; Chordata; Lepidosauria; Squamata; Anolidae. The record is from miRBase by way of RNAcentral.